UAUAUCUUAUGAUGAAGCAAGGGACUUCAUUUCUCAAAGAUGCUUUGAUUGGCUUAGAGAAAGGGAUCAGCUCCGAGCAGAAAUGGAAGCUGGGAAUGUCUUCCAAGGAAUGCGGGAAGCAGUUAUUAGAUUUCCUCCUACAUACAAGUUUGACAAACAUCAACCUGGUUUAGCAGGUUAUGAUUCAGGUGAAAAAAAGCGUGUCCCUGCAUGGUGUGAUAGAAUACUUUACCGGGAUAGCCGGUCAACUCAGGUGUCUGAAUCCAGUUUAGACUGUCCUAUUGUCUCUCUGAUAUCACAGUAUGAUGCUUGCAUGGAUGUCACUGAUAGUGAUCACAAGCCUGUGCGUUGCAUAUUUAGUGUUGAUAUUGCACGAGUUGAUGAGUCAGUUAGGAGACAAGAAUUUGGGGACAUAAUGAAAUCGAAUGAGGAAAUUAGACACUUGCUUGAAGAACAAUGCAAGAUUCCAGAAACUAUUGUCAGCACAAAUAAUAUAAUCCUUCAAAACCAGGAUACAACUAUUUUGCGUAUCACAAAUAAAUGUGGGAAAAAUGUUGCUCUAUUUGAAAUUAUUUGUGAA
Molecule: unclassified non-coding RNA, 580 nt
Filed under: Hevea brasiliensis (rubber tree)
Lineage: Eukaryota; Viridiplantae; Streptophyta; Magnoliopsida; Malpighiales; Euphorbiaceae
Source: RNAcentral